This 465-nucleotide ribosomal RNA is filed under the name Vreelandella stevensii. RNAcentral's name for it is "partial 16S ribosomal RNA". It matches the Rfam family "Bacterial small subunit ribosomal RNA", at positions 338 to 795 of the family's 1533-position model. The record is from RNAcentral. Lineage: Bacteria; Pseudomonadati; Pseudomonadota; Gammaproteobacteria; Oceanospirillales; Halomonadaceae.
CCUACGGGGGGCUGCAGUGGGGAAUAUUGGACAAUGGGGGCAACCCUGAUCCAGCCAUGCCGCGUGUGUGAAGAAGGCCCUCGGGUUGUAAAGCACUUUCAGUGAGGAAGAACGCCUGGUGGUUAAUACCCAUCAGGAAAGACAUCACUCACAGAAGAAGCACCGGCUAACUCCGUGCCAGCAGCCGCGGUAAUACGGAGGGUGCGAGCGUUAAUCGGAAUUACUGGGCGUAAAGCGCGCGUAGGUGGCUUGAUAAGCCGGUUGUGAAAGCCCCGGGCUCAACCUGGGAACGACAUCCGGAACUGGCAAGCUAGGGUGCAGGAGAGGCAGAUAGAAUUCCCGGUGUAGCGGUGAAAUGCGUAGAGAUCGGGAGGAAUACCAGUGGCGAAGGCGGCCUUCUGGACUGACACUGACACUGAGGUGCGAAAGCGUGGGUAGCAAACAGGAGUAGAUACCCCGGUAGUC